Molecule: long non-coding RNA, 285 nt
Filed under: Coffea arabica (coffee)
Lineage: Eukaryota; Viridiplantae; Streptophyta; Magnoliopsida; Gentianales; Rubiaceae
Description: long non-coding RNA (CARA_LNC007205)
Source: RNAcentral
UCACUUACCAUCUCUGAAAAUUAUAAAAGAGGACGCAGAGAUAACAGGGAAAGAGGGAUGGAAAACCUUUCUGCAGAUUCCGUCAGCCACUUUUGUUCUAACAAAAUCAGCGAAAGCAGUUGUUCCGCUCGACAAACAGAGUUCAUAGAGAUGUAUGGGCCUUAAGGGACUAGGUCCAAGAACCAGAAUUAGCCACUCAACUUGUGGAAUCUGAGGGAUCAAGAGCUAAAGAGCAGUCUUGAAAUUAGAGACAGUUGAUUAGUUUUUCCAGUCUUCUGAUACCCU